This 98-nucleotide ribosomal RNA is filed under the name Klebsiella pneumoniae. RNAcentral describes it as "partial 16S ribosomal RNA". The stretch from base 1 to 88 matches the Rfam family "Bacterial small subunit ribosomal RNA", at positions 1446 to 1533 of the family's 1533-position model. The record is from RNAcentral. Lineage: Bacteria; Pseudomonadati; Pseudomonadota; Gammaproteobacteria; Enterobacterales; Enterobacteriaceae.
GGGAACGCUUACCACUUUGUGAUUCAUGACUGGGGUGAAGUCGUAACAAGGUAACCGUAGGGGAACCUGCGGUUGGAUCACCUCCUUACCUUAAAGAA